Molecule: ribosomal RNA, 468 nt
Filed under: uncultured bacterium
Lineage: Bacteria
Description: partial 16S ribosomal RNA
Rfam family: Bacterial small subunit ribosomal RNA
Source: RNAcentral
GAUGAACGCUGGCGGCGUGCCUAACACAUGCAAGUCGAGCGAUUUACUUCGGUAAAGAGCGGCGGACGGGUGAGCAACGCGUGGGUAACCUGCCCUGUACACACGGAUAACAUACCGAAAGGUAUGCUAAUACGAGAUAAUAUGCUUUUAUCGCAUGGUAGAAGUAUCAAAGCUUUUGCGGUACAGGAUGGACCCGCGUCUGAUUAGCUAGUUGGUAAGGUAACGGCUUACCAAGGCGACGAUCAGUAGCCGACCUGAGAGGGUGAUCGGCCACAUUGGAACUGAGACACGGUCCAAACUCCUACGGGAGGCAGCAGUGGGGAAUAUUGCACAAUGGGCGAAAGCCUGAUGCAGCAACGCCGCGUGAGCGAUGAAGGCCUUCGGGUCGUAAAGCUCUGUCCUCAAGGAAGAUAAUGACGGUACUUGAGGAGGAAGCCACGGCUAACUAUGUGCCAGCAGCCGCCGCGG